GGAGUUUCUGGUAAAUUAUACCACGAGGCUUUUGGUUUCCUUUCUACCGUAAAUUCAGGUCCUGUUUGGCCUUAGAUGCUUGGACGUUCACAACAAUUUUUUACCACGCACACACACAAACAUACAUGUGUUCACCAAGACUGGAAUAAACGAAGUUAAUCCACCUCUCGUUUUAUAUUUUCCACCUUGGGAAAUGGUUAAUACUUGCUGCGAGUAUAUUCAGCAUAUAUAUGAGGCAGUACAGUAAAAAAUUGUUUUUCUACACGUCAUCUAAACGAGCAAGAUUUGUCAUCCGUUCUGUUCAUGACGGAAAAGCGAUCAAGAAAAUUGACUGCCAAAGCUAUGGCUAACUACGAGGAAAGAAUACAGAUACUUGAGUCAAGACUUAAAAAUGAGUGGGACCCUCUUACUAGAAUAUUUGAAGAAAGUGAUAAGUUGGGUUCUGAAUGUGAUAAAAUACAAGUUAAAACUAUCAAAACCAAAGUAAUUGAACAAUUUAGUAAAUUUGAUGCCGUCGCAACAGAAUUUCAGAGAUUCUUGAACCAACUGAGAACACCAGAGAGUGAAGUAUUGUUAAAAACUGUUAUAGAAACAGCGUCAAAUAAUAGACAAGUGACCAAUGAUUUUCUUGAUAAAUUAAGGACACUGAAGUACGAAACCUCAUCAGUUGGAUCAAGAAGUCGUGUAUCAACCAAGUCUAGUCAUCUUAGAUUACAGGUUGCCAAAACCAAAGUUGCCUUUGCAGAACAAGCAGCAGAGCUAGAGAGAAAGAAAGCUCAACUUGAGGAGCAAGAAAAAAUUCGUGCUGCAGGCGCUUUACGCCAAAAAAGUAAAUCUCGAUAUUGACAUUAAACUUCUUGAAGAUAAGAAAGAGGUGGCUUUGGCAGAAGCUGACUUUGAAGAUGACAUUACAGAGUUUGGUGGUUUACCUAGUUCAGAUCCGCAAGAGAGAACAGCUGAGUUUGUUCAGCAGUCUAUAAAACAACCACUAGAUGCGUUAGCACGUGAAUUUGUACCCCCACCCGAAAAACAUUCUCCAUCUACAAGUGACUUUACAAAGUUCUUACUGAAGAAAGAUAUACUAACAUCCAGACUUUCUCAAUUUAAUGAACAACCAGAGACAUAUCCAUCAUGGAAAUGUACAUUCAAGGCUGUGUGUACAGACAUAGGUGCUUCUCCAGAAGAAGAAAUAGAUCUGAUGAUCAAAUGGCUUGGCUAUUCUUCAAAGAAACAAGCAGUCUCUUUGAAAACAGCUUAAAUAAACAACCCAGUUGAUGGUCUUCAAAAAAUAUGGAGCCGGAUGGAUGAACGAUUUGGAUCGCCAGAGAGUAUCUAUCAUGCAACAAUGAAAAAGUUGGAACAGUUUCCGAAAAUAACAACAAAAGAUCCCUCGAAAUUAUAUGAACUGUCAGACAUUCUUUCUGAAAUUGAGGGACUAAAAGAAGACCCAAAAUACUCUUCAACAUUGUCUUACUUUGAUUCCGCUGUAGGGGUUAACCCAAUCAUAUGUAAGUUACCGCACAACCUUCAAGAAAAGUGGACUGGACGUGCUACUGACUACAAGAGGAAACACAGUGUGCCAUUUCCUCCAUUCCAAAUUUGUGCCCAGUUUGUACACGACCAAAGUCAAAUACGUAACGACCCAAGUUUCAACUAUGAUGCUCAGAAAAGUACGACCUCCAAUGUGAACGAGAGGAAAAUCUUUGUUUCUACAAGAAAAACCACCGUUGAAGUGAGAUGUCCAAUUCAUAAAACAAAUCACUCUUUAGAGAAUUGUAGAGUAUUUAAAUGUAAAUCUUUCCAAGAGAAAAGAAAUGUGCUAAGAGAGAAUAAGUUGUGUUUUAAGUGUUUGUCUGAUAAGCAUAUGGCUCGUGAUUGCCAGAGCCAAAUAAAGUGUAGUGUUUGUUCAAGUAGAUAUCAUUGUGGGGCUAUGCAUACAGCAACGUCAGAUAGCUACAAGAGGGCUCCAGAUUCACAAGGAACAGCCAUCCAUCAUGGUGGGGAGGAAGACAGCGGAAGAACAACUGUUGUUAGUUCUUGUACAGAGAUUUGUGGCAAUGACUCUGGAAAAUCAUGUGCUAAAAUUGUUUUAGUAAAUAUGUACACUGUUGAAAAUCCUAGCAAUGUCAUAAAAUGUUAUGCUAUUUUAGAUGAACAGAGCAAUAGGUCUUUGGUGAAACCAGAACUCUUUUCUUUGUUAGGUAUCAGAAGUAAAAGUCAUGAAUAUAUGCUUAAAUCAUGUGGAGGUACUGUCAUGGCCUUAGGUCGUCGGGCUGACCACUGUGUGGUUGAGUCGCUAGAUGGAACUGUACGUUACAAUUUGCCUUCACUGAUUGAAUGUUCAAAAAUUCCAAGUGAUAAGACUGAGAUUUGUACACCAAAGCAUGCACGUUACCAUAAGCAUUUAUGUAAUAUUGCUGAUUGUUUACCUGAAUUUGACCAGAAUGCUAACAUUCUCUUGCUGAUAGGUAGAGACGUGACUGAGGCUCAUCAUGCUAUUGAUCAGGUUGUUGGUCCUCCGGGGGCACCAUUUGCACAAUGUGUGGGUCUGGGAUGGGUUGUUAUUGGGGAGUUGUGCUUAAGACAGAUUCAUGCCCAAGAUAUUGUCAAUGUUAACAAGACUUACAUUCUCAAUGAUGGUCGAACUUCCUUGUUUAAAGCAUGUGAUUGUUUCUCGGCUUCUGUCCAAGAUCCCAUCUUUGUCAAAACCCCAAAUGAUGACAAGAUAUCUCUGUCAGUUGAUGAUAGAGAGUUCCUUCGUGUUAUGGAUAGUCAGUUUCAGAAAAGUCCUGAUGGUAGUUGGGUUGCACCCCUUCCUUUGCGUCCUUUGCGUCCACGGCUACCUAAUAACAGGGCGCAAGCACUCAAACGAGCCAACACUCUUUCCAAGAGCCUUGAGAAAAAUCCUAUUAAGAAAGAGCAUUUCUUUGAUUUCAUGGGCAAAUUACUCAGCAAUGGUCAUGCAGAGAGAGCACCAGUUUUGAGUCCAACUGAAGAAUUUGCCUAUUUUCGGAGUGUACCAUCCCAGAAAACCUGGUCAGGUUCGAGUUGUGUUUGACUCCUCGGUAGUGUUUGAAGGUUUGUCUUUAAACUCGGUUCUUUUGCAAGGUCCUGACUUUGUAAAUAACUUGCAAGGGGUGUUGAUGCGUUUCAGAAAGGACAAAGUUGCUGCGAUUGGGGAUAUUGAGCAAAUGUUCUACUCUUUCAGUGUUCACCAGAAAGACAGAAAUCUUCUGCGGUUUCUAUGGUACAAAGAUAACAACCCUUUAAACCCCUUAGUUGAGUAUCGCAUGUGUAAGCAUGUUUUUGGAAAUAGUCCUUCACCUGCUAUAGCGACAUACGGUCUCCGCAAGUCAGUGGAGAAAUCUGAUCAAGAUGUUCAAAGCUUUGUGUCUCAGGAUUUCUACGUUGAUGAUGGUCUGACGUCAAAGUCCACAGUAGAGGGCGCUGUAGAUUUACUCUUGAGAACUCAGUCAGAUUUGAGCAAAAGUAGGUUACGCCUUCACAAGAUUGCUUCCAAUGUUCCUGAAGUCAUGAAAAGUUUUCCACCAGAAGAUUUGUCAAAAGACUUGAAAGAAAUAGAUCUUGACCGGGAGGAUUUGCCUAGUCAGCGUAGUUUAGGUAUUGUCUGGAACAUCAGUUUAGAUAAAUUUGUUUUCAAAGCUGAUCUGUUGGUUCAACCCGUCACAAAGAGAGGUAUAUUGUCCACAAUCAAUAGCAUUUUUGACCCUCUAGGUUUCCUGGCCCCUGUUGUACUUGAUGGAAGGUUAAUUCUUAGAGAGUUGAUGUCUAGUAAGGUAGAUUGGGAUGACUGUGUGCCAGAGGAUAUUGCAGUGAAAUGGGAAAGAUGGAGACAAAGACUUCAUGAUUUGGAGAUCCUCAACAUCUCGAGGAGUUAUUUCGAUGCUUCACUUAGCCAGAUGGAUAGGGUAGAAUUGCAUCUAUUUUCAGAUGCAUCUGUUAAUGGCAUUUCUGCUGUUGUUUACGUGCAAGGGUACACUAUAAAGGGAGAGAAACACGUCGGGUUUGUUGUUGGGAAGAGCAAACUUGCACCCGAGAAAGGUCAUACUAUUCCUAGGUUAGAGCUAUGCGGAGCUGUUUUAGCCGUUGAAUUGUUUCAAUGUGUGUCAGACAAUUUAGGAGUACAAUUUGAUGAAGUAAAGUUCUAUUCUGAUAGCAAAGUUGUUCUUGGCUACAUUUGUAACCGGUCUAAGAGGUUCUAUACUUAUGUUAGCAACAGGGUCCAGAAGAUCAUUAAUGUAAGCAAGCCUGAGCAAUGGAACUUUGUUCCAUCUGAGAAGAACCCAGCUGACAUUGGAAGUAGAGGAGCAAGUGUCACACAAUUGAGUGAAAGUUCUUGGUUAACUGGUCCUCAGUUUUUGUUGCAUGAGACUGUUUCAAACUUGGAGCACUUUCCUCUUGUGAGCCCUGAGGAAGACCAAGAAGUGCGCAAAGAGGUCUUAGUAAGAGCGACUAAUGUCGUAGAUCAGAAAUCUAGCAGUAGCAUGUUUCAACGGUUCUCGACUUGGCAAAGUUUGAUCCGUGCAGUGUCAAAUCUUAGGCAUAUAGCAGUAUCUUAUCACAAGAACUUGCCAUGUAAAGGUUGGCAUAUCUGUUCAGACUCAAAAGAUGUGGCUUGUCAACAAGGGGCAAGGUUUUGGGUUCUGCAAACUGUUCAGCGUGAGGUGUUUGCUAAGGAGGUAAAGCUUCUUUCAGAGAACCAGAGGCUCAAUAAAGACAGUAGUCUUCUGUCUCUUGACCCAGUAUUGCAUAGUGAUGGUUUGUUACAUGUUGGGGGACGUCUUGGCAGGAGUGAACUGCCUACAGCAGAGAAACAUCCCAUUAUCUUACCUCGGAAGCAUCCAGUGUCACUUCUGUUGGUACGACAUUACCAUAUCUCUGUUUUUCAUCAGGGUAGACUCUUUACUGAGGGGGCUUUGAGAUCUGCUGGAUUUUGGGUUGUUGGAGCUAAACGUUUAGUAGCCAGUGUUAUUCACAACUGUGUGGUUUGCAAAAAGCUUAGAGGUCAUUUUGCCACUCAGAAAAUGUCAGACUUACCCAUUGAUAGAUUAGAACAGGCUUCCCCAUUUAGUCAUGUUGGAGUAGAUGUCUUCGGCCCUUGGGAAAUUGUCACAAGGCGAACCAGAGGGGGACAGGCAGCCUCAAAACGUUGGGCUGUAUUGUUUACAUGUUUAACCAUAAGAGCUGUUCACAUAGAAGUCAUUGAAGAUAUGUCUUAUUCUGCAUUCACAAAUGCCCUGCGGAGAUUUGUAUCUGUACGUGGUAAAGUCAAAGUUUUCCGUUCCGAUAGGGGCACUAACUUUGUUGGUGCUAUUGAUAACAUUCAAGCAGAUGCAAUAAAUGUUGAAGAUGAGCCUACUCAGAGCUUCUUGCGAAAGUCAGGGACAAUUUGGAUGUUUAACAGUCCCCAUAGUUCUCAUAUGGGAGGGGCAUGGGAGAGAUUGAUUGGUGUUGCUCGUAGAGUAUUGGAAGCUAUGAUGUUAAAUGUGAAAACAUUGACUCAUGACGUGCUUACUACAUUGAUGGCAGAGGUGUCGGCCAUUAUCAAUUCCCGCCCAAUUGUUCCUGUGUCCAGUGAUUCAGAUGUACCAGAUGUACUGAGUCCUUCUGCUUUGUUAACCCAAAAGUUGGAGUGUGAUCAACCGCCACUUGGCACUAUUGACAUUAAGGACUUGUAUCGAGCUGGAUGGAAACAAGUUCAGUAUUUGGCUAGUCAGUUUUGGCUUCGAUGGAGGCGAGAAUAUCUGCAAACAUUACAGGAAAGGCGCAAGUGGAAUCAGGAGCAAACUCAGUUGAAAAUUGGUGAUGUUGUUUUGUUAAAAGAUGUUGAGGUUGCUCGCCACUGUUGGCCUAUGGGUAGAGUCACACGGGUUUUCCCAAGUGUGGAUGGUAGAAUUCGCAAGGUCGAGGUUUGUGUUAUUAGGGAAGGCAGCAAGGUAUUUUAUACCAGACCAGUUGUUGAUGUGGUGCACUUGGUAGGAAGUUAAGAUUCCAGUAUUUCCUCAGGAUUUAGAUAGUCUUAUCUAAUUUACAGUGAACUGUCAGUUUUGUUUUUGUUGUAAUUAUUUGCAACAUCUCUUAGAUUUUGGUUGUCUGUGUGAAUACAGCAUUAAGAAAUGCUUUAAGAUGUUAAAGAAUAAUUUGGUAAAAUACUGGCAGUCUUAAGUAAAUUUCAAUGUUUAUAUAGUUAACAUAUAUAGAUUAUUCUAAAUGUUUCUCUAAGAGCCUAACAGUCCAGUCCUUUUUUAAGUAAUUGCAUUCAACUUAUUAGGAAUUCAUUAUAGAAUGUGUUAUUCAUCAUUAUUCAUUUUUCAUUUUGACUGUUAUACUUUUAUAAGACGUCAUUAUUGCCUGUUAAACGUUUAUUGGAGCAUUUUCUACAUUGUACUCCCAUUCCUGAAGGGCGUACAUUGCAGAAAAUGUAUCAGUCAUUAAAACGAAGUGAUCUUGUUAAGAAUUAUGUCAAAUAUGAUGAUUUUUUAUGUGAAUAGUGUUAUUUGAUAAUAACAGGUGGGGAGUAUGCUGAUUCUUUUAAUUUAGUUGUGUGUAACCUUCGCUAUUCGGCACAGUUUUUUGGAGUUUCUGGUAAAUUAUACCACGAGGCUUUUGGUUUCCUUUCUACCGUAAAUUCAGGUCCUGUUUGGCCUUAGAUGCUUGGACGUUCACAACAAUGUAUGUAUUUUAAACUCCCUGACUGUUGUUAUAAAUGUCUUGCUUAAUUCGUCUUGAUAUUUUUUAUAAUCGUCAUUUGAGAUAUGUGAAAGUAGUAUUUGAGACUUCUUCGUAGCCAUCACCCCCUCCUCCGACUCCCCCACCACUCUCCAACCAACCUCAACCACGACAUACAACCCACUUAAACACAAUACAGUUUUAAACCAUACUGCAUACUCUUGUGUAUGUACUUAGAAAUAUGAAUGGGGUUCCCGGGGUUUAAUCACUCCCUGCCCCACCCCAACUACUCCGACUCCCCCACCCCUCUCCAACCACCAAGAUAUACAGCAUAUAACCCACUAAAACACAAUGCAGUUUUGAAGGAACGGCGUAAGAACCUCCUCGCAUACUCUUCUUUUGUACGAACUUUUGAAAAUGAAAGGGGGUCCCGGGUUUUAGUCACCACGACCCCCACCCCCAGCCUCAUCAGGCUUCCCCACCCCUCUCCAACCUCCAACAAUUACGGCAUACAACAUUCGAACACAAUAAAGUAGUAAAUCCGGGCGUAUUAAAGAAAACGCUAUAUACCCCAGAGAAUGGAAGGGAUUUUCGGUAUUUACGGGGAUUUUCGGGAUUUCGGUAAUUCCACCGACCGAUAGUGAUGUAUUACAUAUCUUCUCUUCUGUCCAUCUUAGGGUUGAAAACGUUGAGUUUGUGGGUGAAGUACACCUGUCCAUUCAUGUAUAUAUAUGAUUACCCUUAUGUAUCUAUAAAAUAUUGUGUAUUUAUCAAAUAUUUAUUUUUUUAUUGUUCAUCGACAUAUUUAUAUAUAGAUGAAAACAUAUUUGACAGAUGACAGACAAAACCACAGGGGGCAGAAGCAAACUAUUUGUAAGCUUUCCUAUCCAAUAUGUAUAUAUAGAGAGUAAAUGUAUAUAAUCUCGCUCUCCCUCACUCUCUCUCUCUAAUGUAUAAAAAAUAAUAUACAUAUAUAUAUAUAUAUAUAUAUAUAUAUAUAUAUAUAUAUAUAUAUAUAUAUAUAUAUAUAUAUAUAAUUAUAUAUAUAUAUAUAAAAAUAUAUAGGCUAGGAAAACUUAAAAAAAAGUUGCCUCUGCCCCCUGUGGAUAAAACAUGUAUAAUGUUGUACAUGUAUCCUAAUGAUUUAUAUUUUACUUGAUGUUAUGGUUGCAAAGCUCACUUUUUUUUGUAAAUUUGUAGACUUUAUUUUUUGGUUUUCACUGUUUUCAUUUAGUAAUGCUAAAUAUAUAGUAUGUAUUACAUUUAUAGUAGGCUCUUCUGUGUUUUUCCCCCAGAUAUUCCUAGAGCAAGAAAACAAUGGUGCAGUGCAGUCUACACGUUGCCAAUGCCCUAUGGCUGAGUACAAGAGAGCUAGCAAAACAGAUAUAAAAUGCAGUUGGCUCAAACAUCCGAAGUCAGCACCUCCAAAGACUACAGUUACAAUGACUGACUUAUAUCCCCCAAGGCAACAAGAGUACAG
This is an RNA transcript of Mya arenaria, 8170 nucleotides long. RefSeq lists it as uncharacterized. The record is from RefSeq and is a predicted model, not a curated record. Lineage: Eukaryota; Metazoa; Mollusca; Bivalvia; Myida; Myidae. The transcript is spliced from 3 exons.